This 253-nucleotide ribosomal RNA is filed under the name uncultured bacterium. RNAcentral's name for it is "partial 16S ribosomal RNA". It matches the Rfam family "Bacterial small subunit ribosomal RNA", at positions 524 to 776 of the family's 1533-position model. The record is from RNAcentral.
UACGUAUGGAGCAAGCGUUAUCCGGAUUUACUGGGUGUAAAGGGUGCGUAGGCGGCACAGCAAGUCAGAUGUGAAAGACCGGGGCUCAACCCCGGGGCUGCAUUUGAAACUGCCGAGCUUGAGUCCGGGAGAGGCAGGCGGAAUUCCUAGUGUAGCGGUGAAAUGCGUAGAUAUUAGGAGGAACACCAGUGGCGAAGGCGGCUUACUGGACUGUAACUGACGUUGAGGCUCGAAAGCGUGGGGAGCAAACAGG